AUCUGCAAACACACACACAAAAAAAAAACAUUCCAAGCACAGAGAAAAGCAUUUUAUAUCCUUGGGAUAUUUACAAACAAGAAACACUGGCUUUGUGAAGGUUGAAAAUGCAGUAUUCCCUAUUCCUUUGUGUGUAUCUGUCUGGGAGGCUCCAAAGGCUGAGAUGGCACUAAUGGGAUGUUCUCUAACUUUCCGCCUGCCAAAUAACUUAAUAAACUAAACAAACAUAUUGCUUUGUACUCCUUCUAAGGUUUCUCAAUAUUCUUAAAGAGCAUUAAUGAACCAUCCUUCACCAUCCUGUAUCUGAGUCAGGAAAAUAUUCAUAUCUCUGCUUCACAGAUAAGGAACAAGGCACAGAAAGGUCACGUGAGUGCAGAGGGUCACACAACAUGCGCGUCAGUUUUCCUUCAGCUCAGUGCCCCAUCCUCACCUGCCUAGCCCAUCAUCUUCUCCUUAGCCCUCUGGGAAGCACUGCCAAUUCCCUAUUGUCACCUUGGGAUGUCCCAGCCAAGCCCAGAAAACAAUCCCUAACUUAGCCACCAAACUUCUGCUGUACAGAGCAGUUCCCCUCAACAUCACUUGCUCUUCUCCGCUGAAGACACACAUGCCCAGCAGAGGCUGUGCUCUGGUCCUCACCCUGCAGCCUGAUGCUCCUCUGCUGUGCCAGCUGCAAGCUCAGAGGCUCUGCCUCAGGCAGCUCUUAGCCAUGCUUACAGGAACCCAGACAGAAAUGCUUCUCGGGUUUAGCUCGCAGCUCUGCUGCCAUGGGAGCUGGGGCAGACUGACUGGAGCACUUCUACCUUCCUCUUGUCAGGUGAGUGAGGUGCUACUGAUUUCCCCGGUACUGAGGACCUGACAAGGUUACUGCUGCUGGCAGGAUUACCACUUCUAGGAGGAAUGCAGACCUCUACCUCCUGCCCAGAGCAGGGCUCCUGGUGCCAGAGAAAGUGUUACAUUACCAAAGCUCUGCUGAGCACCACUGCUGCCUUUCUUUCCCACUCUCUUAGUCCUGGCCAGAACCCAGCACAGAUGCACUGUAAUUACAGAGGCUCUCCCACCUUCCCUCUUCUGCCCCGCCUGGGGGGCCCAAGCCCUGGACCUGAUGGGCUUCUACAAUGUCCAUGUCUGACAGUGCAACCUGGAUCCCAGCUGGGUGGAAGAUAACUCAGUGUGUGUUGAAGAAAUUCCUCAGAGCAGUGUUCCUCCAGAGAACCUUGACCUGCUUCCAGGAGCAGUGCCUGAUCUCAAAGCUUGACUACAGGAUGGACACAGAUCAUUGAAGGUUACUAUCAGCACUGAUGAGACUGGCACUGGAGCUGCUCCACUCUCUGAUGCAGGAACAGAAGCACAGAGGGGAGAAAAUGUGUCUCAGGCAGCUUUCCACCUAGGUGCAGGUGGUCUGCUGUAUGAUAGCAGCCACUUCUAGCUUCUGUUUUAAAUGCUACUGCUGGAAUAUGAAAGCACAGGCUAGAGAAAAGGCUGGCUCUGUGACAAAUGCAGCAGUGCAGGGCUUACUUGUGUGUACCCAUUCUGAGUUGUGCUGCCUUCCUCCUUCCCUCCCAUACACACCUGAAAGAUGAACUUGGUGCCAAAUUACUGCCCUUGGCAAUAGUUAAUUUUAAUAUUGGCAAAGGCAAGUGUGGACCUGUGCUAUUCAAUAAAAAUCUCCAAAUUGCUCAA
This is a non-coding RNA of Taeniopygia guttata (zebra finch), 1680 nucleotides long. NCBI's taxonomy places the organism in Eukaryota, Metazoa, Chordata, Aves, Passeriformes, Estrildidae. The record is from RefSeq and is a predicted model, not a curated record.